This 428-nucleotide ribosomal RNA is filed under the name uncultured prokaryote. Its description in RNAcentral is "bacterial SSU rRNA". It matches the Rfam family "Bacterial small subunit ribosomal RNA", at positions 355 to 774 of the family's 1533-position model. The record is from RNAcentral.
UGAGGAAUUUUGCGCAAUGGGAGCAAUCCUGACGCAGCAACGCCGCGUGGGUGAUGAAGGCCUUCGGGUCGUAAAGCCCUGUCAGGUGGGAAGAAUGUCCCGGGACUGAACAGGUUCCGGGAGUGACGGUACCACCAGAGGAAGCACCGGCUAACUCCGUGCCAGCAGCCGCGGUCAUACGGAGGGUGCAAGCGUUAUUCGGAAUUACUGGGCGUAAAGCGCGUGUAGGCGGUCCCGCAAGUCUGAUGUGAAAGCCCCGGGCUUAACCCGGGAAGUGCAUUUGAAACUGUGGGACUUGAGUACGGGAGAGGAUGGGGGAAUUCCCGGUGUAGAGGUGAAAUGCGUAGAGAUCGGGAGGAAUAUCAGUGGCGAAGGCGCCCAUCUGGACGGUAACUGACGCUGAGACGCGAAAGCGUGGGGAGCAAACA